GGGUGCAAAUCGAUGCCGCCGAAGCGAAGCGAAAGUUCAAAUGCUGCCGAGACAGGGCGAAGCGUGGCGAUUGUGAAGCGGCGGCGCGAGGGGCAGCGCAGCGAGUUCUCUUCAAGUGCGCUGUAUUCGACGUUUGAGGCACACGUCACUGCGGCACAAAAUUCGUUCCUGCGAGGUGAUUCACAAGCAGCAGAGCACGAGGCGGUGCAAGCGCUCCGCAUCCGACCCACCGCGCAUCUCUUCGCUCUGUUGGCGGUGAUUGCGGAGUCGAAAGGAAAGUUUGACCAGGCCAGCGACUUCCGACUCCUUCAGGCCUUCUUGGCUCGCGACAUCGUUCUAUGGGAGGAGCUGCUGCACGAUUUCAUGACACAGCAGCUCUACUACAAGUCUGUGGUUUGCCUGCAGCGGAUGUCGGCGCUGGAGAAGAACCAGGAGCGGUACCGUGCGCUGCAGCUGCAGUUGGCAGAUCUACUUAUUGGUCUGGGCGAGAUUCGGAGAGCGUCGAACGUGCUGGUGCCGUUGUGGAACAGCAGCCGUUGCCGCGACUUUGAGGUGUUCGCCCUCCUCUCGUCUUUGUACUUCCAGCUCGGCAAGUGGGCGUCACUCCAGCGGCUGAUCGAGAGCAGCGUCAAGCACGCUUUUCAACUACUGCCAACGGCUGAGGUGACCGGAGCGACAACGGCGGCGGGUGAGACGAUGGCACACGGGGCGGAGGCAACUGCUCAAGUGUCGUCUUCCACUCCAGGUACGGAGCAGCAGCUGCCCUCACCCCCGCCGGACUCGUCGAUCUCAGAACAACGCGUCUCAAAACGCGUUCGCUUCUUUGGCAUGGACGCCGGCGAGGACGGCGCAGCAGUGCCCGUCACAGCGGACCUCACUGCCACAACGGCACCGACGUCUUUGUCUCCUGCCGAGGCUUCGUUGGACGAAUUCGGGUUUGACGACUUCAUAUCACCUGCCUCGCCUCUCUUACAUCCACCGUCGUCCAACCGCCCUGGGGAUGCAGCUGGCAGCACGGGUGCGCACCGCGGCGGCGUGGUGCAUCAACUUUACGGGGAGCGAAUAGAGCUGCGCAGCCCGCAGGACCAGAAGAACUUUCUCACGCUUGUCAACGUCCAUGCCGAGCUGCUGAACGAGCAGGGCAACUUCUCCGACACAGUGCAGCUGCUUCAUAUGGCGGCUGGCUGCCUUGAUGUUGACCUCAUGGAGCUUCCGCCGGACCUCCUCGUGCGGCUUGGCGUGGCCUACGCGUUCCUUGGCGGCGUCUAUGAGCAACCAUGCCGCGACGUUUUUCAGCACUUGGUGGCACACUGCUCAAUGGAGGACUAUGGUGAUGUCCUGCUGGAUGCGGCCAUGUCGCUGCAGAAGGUGAGCAUGCAUGCGGAGGCGGCACAGGUGUACGUGACGCUGGCCCGCUACCAUCAGUUUGUCUACGACCGUGUUCGCAGGCAGGUGGGUAUGGCGGAGGCGGAGCUGACGUUGAUGCAGGACACAGCUCCGUUGAACCAGGUGCAGUCGGCCACAGACGCGUUAAAGGCACUCAAGGCGGAGGAGGCAGACCUCAAAACGGUGCUAGCCGCUGCCCUUCAAGGGCAGGCUGAAAGCGCGUACGCGAGGGAGCUGUACGACGAAGCGAAGGAAUACGCCGAGCGCGUGCUGCAGCUGGAGCCAACGCAUCUGCAGGCACGUCUCCUGCUCGGUCGCUACUACUUCUAUCAGCACAAAGACACCGCCGCUGCCGUAGAGGUGUUGACGCCGUCGACACACGAGCCAGCGCUCCAGCGCAUUCAGCUCGGGGUGUUCCUCGUUCACGUGUUUCAGCGUGCAAAGCGCUACGUCGAGGCGAUCGCCCUCGGCGUUUCGAUUUUCGAGCUUCUGCUGUCCAGCGAGGAGGACGGCGACACCCAAUCUGUCGCACCCGGCACGUCGUCGCGUCGCAGUGGGGCUUCUCUUUACCUGCCGACAAUGACGCGUGCUAGUUCGGCCAUCAUACCUGCAUCGAGCCUGGCCGGAAUGGUGGGCGGCAGCACCGCGGCUGGCGGCAGCAACGUCGCCGCACGUACCUCCUUUUCGCUAGCCGCGUCUAUCAAAGCCUCCACUUCCGUCGCACGGCAGCAGCUGGCUCGCCGUGGUCUGGAGUCACUAACGACAACCGUCUACGGCGCCUCUGCGGCGGCGUCGCUCGCCGCCGGCUGGGAUCGACGGGAGGAGGAGGGGCAGCUGAAGGACACCUCGACGAUUUUCCGUUUCAACCGCCGGCGCCGCCGCCCUGGAGGCGAGAGGAGGGUUGCAGACGGUGCCCUCUUGACCGAUGAAAAGCCUGAAGGGCCUGUCGAAGAUGCUGGUGAGCGAAGCGGCGAUGCUACUGUGCACGGCGAGCCAGGCGUCACUCGGCUCAAGACAGCCGAGGAGCGGCGCGCGGCUAUCAUCAGCAUGGAGCCGGCUGCCUUCUGGCCCGCUGAAGAGGGGGGCGAGGGUGAUGGGGCUGAGGAGGACCAGCCAUCGUCGAGCAGGGUCAAGCCAGGAGCAGACCAGAGCAGUGCGACGCAAUCCGUCAAGGAGGAGGACGGCGGCGACGGUGAGAAGGACCGAAGCCGCGCUGACGCUCUUCGCCCCCCAGUAAAGCGCGACCGGGGCGGUGAAAGAGUCGCCGAUACAGCCGCUGCCGUAGCAGGGGUGGUGAAGACAUCAUCAGGCAUGGAGGGCAAGGGCGUGGGGAAGACGACGAAAAAGGCGAGCGCCGGCGCAGCCGUGGGCCGCUUCAACAACACGAUAGUGGGGGAGCGGGACAGGGACCUGACAGAGUUGGAGGGGUUCCUGACAGAGGCCGAGGCGAUCGCAAACGCGGAAGCGGAGCUGGCCGAGCCGUCUGGAAAUGCGAGGGAAGUGGCCGCAGGCUCGAUGCGGGAUGAUGAGCAACACGACGAUGACGCGGUGGACGUAUUGCCGGAAUCCUAUGAGCUCCCCUCGCUGGAGGAGGUCAGCAAGCAGUUCCAAGACCCGGUUAUGGCGCAACUUUUUCUUGAUGCCUCCAGCUUCACGCCCGGAGGCGGGGUGCGGAGCGGGGAGGGGCAAGACAGCGGCCAGAAUCCAUGGGCUGACUUGGCGGAGGCGAACCACAACGCCAGUGCCGCUCCCGGGCUUCCGGCUGGCACGGGGCUGGAGGACAAGGUGACGCUCCGUGAGGCUGUGGCUGUGCUGGGAAAGGCCGGUUUCAUCUCACUUGCCGUUGCCGUUGUGGAGUGCUACAGUGCGGUGGGCCAGUUCACGGAGGCGCGCGAGUUCGCGUUUGUCGCACUCACUCACUUUUCGCAGAAGCGCCGGCUGCGGCAGAUGGGAAACGGACUCGAGCGGCCGCUGCGGCUGGCGGUACUGCGAGCCGCACUCGCCGCGGGUGAGAGCGAGGAUGCUUACCGGGUAGGGCUCCGGCUCCUGCAGCAGGACACCGCCGAGGACAAGCGCCGUGAGGUGGUGGAGCUGAUGCACAGCGUGCUGAACCGCUGCUACGAUCGCAGCUCCAUCCUGUACCGCGCCGUCGCUGACGGCUACAGUGACCCUGCGCUACUUGUGCUGCUGGCUAACCGAUAUCACCAAACGCGCAGCUACGCACGCGUGCUGAAUCUGUACCUGAUGGCGCUACGGGAGAGGCCGUCAGACAUUCUGCUCAACUUCAUGGUGGGUCUCUCCUACCUGUUCUGCAGCCACCGAAAGCGAACUCGGUCUCGUGAGGCGUGCGUGUCGGCGGCCAUCUACUACCUGACUCAAUAUCAGCAGCUCCGCCUGGCACUGGAGCCAGCUGCCGGCAUCGGGGAGGUACUCUACAACAUCGCUCGCACUUUGCAGUUUCUGAAGUUGUACUACAUGUGCAUCCCUUUAUAUGAGCGGGUCGCGUACGACUUGUGCCCGCCGGAGGAGUGCACCAUCGCUCUGCAGCGCGCCGCGCGCGUGAACCUCUACUUUGUAUACCGCUGGGCCUCGGGAAAUCGAACGCUGGCGCUGACGGCCCUGCAGGCGCGCAGUGUGCCCAAUGGCACAGCUGUGACAUCACCACGUCCGCCUAGCCCCUUCCGUCUCAAGACGGACGGUGAAAUUCUUAACGUGCCGAGUCAGCGUACACCUUGAAGCCAUGAGAAAGUUCGCGUGUGAAUGUCGAGCACAAAAUGGUUUUCAAGUCGUGUUACGAGGGUGAGAACGUUACCCUGGUGGUGGUGGGCUGCCUCUCUGCACCCGCGAAUACACGACCACGAGAGAGGGGCACAGAAGGGCAACAGAAAGGCGGUUCAGCGUAGCCACCCACCCCGCCCCCCUCAUCUGCGCACACGUUCGUGCACAUCUAUACGUGACUCGCGUAGAUGGAUGCUUUGGCGCCGCAGGGGACGUCUUUCGAGAGUGACGCGGGUGAAGCCACGGCGGUUCGACACACCAAGCCGGGUACUGCCGACUGGCAAGUGGAGACUCAUGGCUUUUGCCUGUUCUAUCGACUCGGACGCAUUGCACGCCACACGCCACACGAAAAUGGAUGCAGAUGAAUCGCAACACUUCGUCCUCCCCGUCCCGCCGUUUUCCUGCUUCUCCUCCCUUCUCUUCCUUUCCUGCCGCUGACUCCUCUUCCCCCCUUUUUCGGUUUUGCACGAUGCCCCAG
This 4642-nucleotide unclassified non-coding RNA is filed under the name Leishmania donovani. Its description in RNAcentral is "gene:LdHU3.12.0800(CDS-product:hypothetical_prote in_conserved)". The record is from RNAcentral. Lineage: Eukaryota; Euglenozoa; Kinetoplastea; Trypanosomatida; Trypanosomatidae.